RNAcentral lists this ribosomal RNA (512 nucleotides) under uncultured bacterium. RNAcentral describes it as "partial 16S ribosomal RNA". It matches the Rfam family "Bacterial small subunit ribosomal RNA", at positions 28 to 523 of the family's 1533-position model. The record is from RNAcentral.
GAUGAACGCUGGCGGCAUGCCUAAUACAUGCAAGUCGAACGAGAGGAAGGAAAGCUUGCUUUUCUGAAUCUAGUGGCGAACGGGUGAGUAACACGUAAGUAACCUGCCCAUGUGCCCGGGAUAACUUCUGGAAACGGAUGCUAAAACCGGAUAGGUAGCAGACAAGCAUUUGACUGCUAUUAAAGUGGCUAAGGCCAUGAACAUGGAUGGGCCUGCGGUGCAUUAGCUAGUUGGUGAGGUAACGGCCAACCAAGGCGACGAUGCAUAGCCGGCCUGAGAGGGCGGACGGCCACAUUGGGACUGAGACACGGCCCAAACUCCUACGGGAGGCAGCAGUAGGGAAUUUUCGUCAAUGGGGGGAACCCUGAACGAGCAAUGCCGCGUGAGUGAGGAAGGUCUUCGGAUCGUAAAGCUCUGUUGUAAGAGAAAAACGACAUUCAUAGGGAAUGAUGAGUGAGUGAUGGUAUCUUACCAGAAAGUCACGGCUAACUACGUGCCAGCCGCCGCAGUAA